GGAUACGCUACGGACGAGCUACACAUGCAGUCGAGGGGUAGAAUGUCUUCGGAUAUUUGAGACCGGCGCACGGGUGCGUAACGCGUAUGCAACCUACCUCUUACUGGGGAAUAGCCCGGAGAAAUUCGGAUUAAUGCCCCAUAUGCUCGUACGACCUCAUGGUCGAGCGAGGAAAGUUCCGGCGGUAAGAGAUGGGCAUGCGUCCUAUUAGCUAGUUGGUGAGGUAAUGGCUCACCAAGGGCGACGAUAGGUAGGGGGCCUGACAGGGUGAUCCCCCACACUGGUACUGAGACACGGACCAGACUCCUACGGGAGGCAGCAGUGAGGAAUAUUGGGCAAUGGAGGAAACUCUGACCCAGCCAUGCCGCGUGCAGGAAGACGGCCUAUGGGUUGUAAACUGCUUUUGUACGAGAAUAAACCCUUCCACGUGUGGAAGGCUGAAGGUACCGUACGAAUAAGGAUCGGCUAACUCCGUGCCAGCAGACCGACGGUAAUACGGAGGAUCCAAGCGUUAUCCGGAUUUAUUGGGUUUAAAGGGUCCGUAGCGGGUUUUUAAAGUCAGUGGUGAAAGCCUACAGCUUAACUGUAGAAUUGACAUUGAUACUGGAGACCUUGAGUGUAGUACGAAACUCAGGCGGACAUAAGGCAUGUACGCGCGUGAAAUGCAUAGGAUAUGCCUUAGGAACACCGAAUUGCAAAGGCAAGCUUU
RNAcentral lists this ribosomal RNA (709 nucleotides) under uncultured Bacteroidota bacterium. RNAcentral describes it as "bacterial SSU rRNA". It matches the Rfam family "Bacterial small subunit ribosomal RNA", at positions 26 to 729 of the family's 1533-position model. Lineage: Bacteria; Pseudomonadati; Bacteroidota. The record is from RNAcentral.